AGCAUAUCAAUAAGCGGAGGAAAAGAAACCAACAGGGAUUGCCUCAGUAACGGCGAGUGAAGCGGCAAUAGCUCAAAUUUGAAAUCUGGCUCUUUCAGAGUCCGAAUUGUAAUUUGUAGAGGACGCUUCGGCUUCGAUUCAGUUAAAGUUCCUUGGAAUAGGACGUCAUAGAGGGUGAGAAUCCCGUUUGUGACUUGAAUAUCUUAGCUAUGUGAAGCUCUUUCCGACGAGUCGAGUUGUUUGGGAAUGCAGCUCUAAAUGGGUGGUAAAUUUCAUCUAAAGCUAAAUACUGGCCAGAGACCGUUAGCGCACAAGUAGAGUGAUCGAAAGAUGAAAAGCACUUUGGAAAGAGAGUUAAACAGUACGUGAAAUUGUUGAAAGGGAAGCGCUUGCAAUCAGACUUGCUUGCAGUUUGAUCAUCCAGUGGAUUUUUUUCCGCUGGUGCACUCAAUUGCAAAUCAGGCCAGCAUCAGUUUAGGUGGCUGGAUAAAGACGUCAGGAAUGUAGCUCUCUUCGGGGAGUGUUAUAGCCUGGGGUGUAAUGCAGCCUGCCUAGACUGAGGACCGCGCUUCGGCUAGGAUGCUGGCGUAAUGGUUGUAAGCGACCCGUCU
This 611-nucleotide ribosomal RNA is filed under the name uncultured fungus. RNAcentral's name for it is "eukaryotic LSU rRNA". It matches the Rfam family "Eukaryotic large subunit ribosomal RNA", at positions 37 to 654 of the family's 3401-position model. The record is from RNAcentral. Lineage: Eukaryota; Fungi.